This is a non-coding RNA of Dermatophagoides farinae (American house dust mite), 1640 nucleotides long. The record is from RefSeq and is a predicted model, not a curated record. Lineage: Eukaryota; Metazoa; Arthropoda; Arachnida; Sarcoptiformes; Pyroglyphidae.
ACCAUUCAUCAAAUAGGGUGGGUGGGUGUUGUUUUUGUUUUGGUUUUUUUUUCUAUCCAUCUAUCAAUUCUCUUGGAAAAAAAAAAGUGAAAAUUGUCAUCAUCAUCAUCAUCGAUCAUCGAUUGAUUGAUCCACCAUCGAAUGAUCAACAUAUAUUUCGAAUACAUCAACCACACACACAAGUCUCCCGGUUUUUGUUGUUGUUGUUAUUUGGUUUUUUUCCUUGCUCUUGUAAUGUGUGUGGUUAGUUCUAUUUGGUUUGUUGUAUUUGAAUGUGAUGUUUUUGUUAUUUGAAUGGUAUGUUGUUGUUGUUGUUAAAGUUUAUUGGGCGACUUGAUCAGGAUGGAUGACUAAAAAAAGUGACUUGGAGUAUUGUUGUGUUUUGUGUAUAUCGACUCUUUUUUUUUCUCUAGCCAACGCCUUUACCUCGGCUUGGCUCGGUUUGUGUUAUAUCCUAGCUUUUUAUUUCCAUUUUAUAAUAAAUGUUGUGGUGGUAGCCUAGGACUUCUCUCUCUCUCUCUUCCCUCACUUUUUAUCUUUUUUUUUCUGUAAACGUAUGUGGUAUGUGUGUGUGUGUGUUAUGUAGAAUGACGCGAUCAUCGAGUAUAGUAAAGGGAAAGAGGAUCCGAAGGAUCCCAGUGUAUGUGUGUGUGUGUGUGUGUAAGUUUAGCCCAUCAUCAUCAUCAUCAUUACCAAUAGCCGACACAUAUACACACAAAUUAUAUACAGUAACAAAGAGCCUAGAAGGCGAAAGAAUGUGUUUGUGUGUGUGUGUGUGUGUGUAUCUAUUUUUCUACAGCCAAAAGAAAAAAAAAACCUGCGCUUGGUUCGAUCUUGCGCGCUAUUUUAUAUUUUUAUAUAUCUCUCAAAUAGCUUGGUGGUAUUCAUUCAUUUUAUUUUUAUUUUGGUUUUGGUUUGAUUUUAUGUUAAGUCUUGUUGAAUGUGUAUGUAUUUCGGUUUCGUUGUCGAUGUAUGUGAGCUCCAAUUUUUGAUCCGUAAAAUUCGAUCAAAUAAUUCGAAUGUCUCUCUCACUUCUUGUGACCUUCGUCAUUUGUCAUCAUCAUUCGAAUGAUUUUGUAUUUUGGCAACGAAUCCACUCAAUCAUUUCACAUUUCACAAUUCUGGAUCAUUCAACAUUUGAUUCGCCUUUUUAUCAUCAACAAAAUAAACGUGUGUGUUUGUGUUCGAUUUGUGUGUGUUUGUGCGCGUGAUUCAUCGAUCACAAUGAUCCAAUUUUCAUUAUGAAUUAUAAUCAAUAUAAACAUCACAAAUGAAUCAAAUCAAAUCAAAUCAAAAAAAAAAUUAGUCAAUCACCAAUCGUGGGUAUCGUUUUCUACUACAUUUGCAAUUUAGUGUCAUCGUUGAAUAAGAAGAAGGAAAAAAAACUUGUUCCUGAUCAUCAUCAUCAUCAUCAUCAUCAUCAUCAUUAUUAUUACCACCGCCAUCAACCAUCAACCAUCAGCGUGAAUCAUGUGUAUGGUUGAAUAGGACACACUCCCUCCUUUCCUCCCCAAAUAAAUAUACAAGAUGCAUCCCAUCAUUCCAUCAUCAUCAUCAUCAGAAAUCACUAUCCAUUCAUUAUUACAAUACAUAGAAACAGCCGUUGGCGUUGGUUAGUUGUUUUCUAUUUAAAAAUAAUA